Molecule: ribosomal RNA, 301 nt
Filed under: uncultured bacterium
Lineage: Bacteria
Description: partial 16S ribosomal RNA
Rfam family: Bacterial small subunit ribosomal RNA
Source: RNAcentral
CAGCAGCCACGGUAAUACGGAGGGUGCAAGCGUUAAUCGGAAUUACUGGGCGUAAAGCGCACGCAGGCGGUCUGACAAGUCAGAUGUGAAAUCCCCGGGCUUAACCUGGGAACUGCAUUUGAAACUGUCAGGCUGGAGUCUUGUAGAGGGGGGUGGAAUUCCAGGUGUAGCGGUGAAAUGCGUAGAGAUCUGGAGGAAUACCGGUGGCGAAGGCGGCCCCCUGGACAAAGACUGACGCUCAGGUGCGAAAGCGUGGGGAGCAAACAGGAUUAGAGACCCGUGUAGUCCCUGUCUCUUAUAC